This 82-nucleotide non-coding RNA is filed under the name Geosporobacter subterraneus. RNAcentral describes it as "c-di-GMP sequence". It matches the Rfam family "c-di-GMP-I riboswitch aptamer". Rfam says of the family: GEMM was predicted in a large-scale screen for bacterial structured RNA regulatory elements. Genes associated with GEMM are involved in a diverse array of functions, including chemotaxis regulation, signal transduction, secretion and chitin. The record is from RNAcentral. Lineage: Bacteria; Bacillati; Bacillota; Clostridia; Peptostreptococcales; Thermotaleaceae.
AAAAUAAUAAGCAAACCUGUCGAAAAAUGGGGGCGAAAAGCUAAAGGGCCUAAGGUUAAAGCUACGGCAGCCAGUUGCUAAG